Oscillibacter sp. KLE 1745 is the source of this 95-nucleotide non-coding RNA. NCBI's taxonomy places the organism in Bacteria, Bacillati, Bacillota, Clostridia, Eubacteriales, Oscillospiraceae. The record is from Rfam.
CCCUUAUCAAGAGUGGCGGAGGGAACGGCCCGAUGAACCCACGGCAACCUGCUUAUGACAAGGUGCCAAAUCCGGCGGUGAUCGACAGAUGAGGA